This 73-nucleotide transfer RNA is filed under the name Marmota monax (woodchuck). RNAcentral's name for it is "tRNA.Ala". Lineage: Eukaryota; Metazoa; Chordata; Mammalia; Rodentia; Sciuridae. The record is from RNAcentral.
GGGGCUGUAGCUUAGUGGUUGAGCAGUUGCUUGGCAUGCAAGAGGCACUGAGUUUGAUCCCCAAUAUGCCUCC